CAGUCUUUAACAUUUGUUGGAAAUCAGGAUUUUGCAGAAGGGAUACAUUAAGGCGCCAACUAUAUGAUUUCUUUUUCUCUAUAUGUGGCAUCACCUCUAAACUCACCAGAGCAUGAUCUGAAACUAAGAUAUUUCCAAUUGAGCAAUCAACAACAGAUGAAAUGAGGGAUUUGGAUAUAAAAAAAAAAAUCUAUUCUAGGAUAAAUCUUAUGGACUGAUGAAAAAAAUGUAUAGUCCCUACCAGAUGGGUUCAAAAGUCUCCAAAUAUCCGAAAGACCAAGAUUUUUACACAUCCUGUGAAGCAUCAAUGUAGCUCUAGGGGGUUUACACACUUUUGCAUCACUGUGAUCAUGGACUGAGUCAAUCAAAAGAUUAAAGUGUCCUCCCAAUAUUAUAUCAUGAGGGGUGCCAGUGGCUUGCAACAUCCCUUCAAGAUCUAUAAAAAAGCCCUGAUCAACAGCGUUAGGUGCGUAAAUAUUAGCCAAAGUCAACCUUUGCCCUUGAAUUUCAGCUAAAACAAUAAUUACUCUUCCUAAUUUAUCUUUAGUCUGUUUGAGACAUUUGAAUUGUAGAAGUUUAUUUACCAAUAUAAUGACUCCCUUGCUCUUAAUUGAGCCAGCACAGAAAAAAAAAAAGUCCACCCCAUAUCUUCCCAAAUUUUUCAGCUUCCUGCAGGGAGAGAUGUGUUUCUUGAAGAAACACUAUAUCAUAUUUCUUACGUUUAAGAAAAGUAAUAACCUUCCUUCUUUUUAUGGGGUGACCCAACCCAUUUACAUUCCAUGUGGAGAGAGAUAGUACACUCAUAUUAACAACUGACAUAUUGAUAUAGUAGAAAAAAUCAGUUGUGUGUCAAAAACAAAAUUAUACAGACCACAUUCCCCAUUAGUGAAACAAUCAAACCCCGAACAUCUCCCCGAACAAAACAAACAGAAAAAAGAAAAACGUGCGCAUUAACCCCACGCACGACAGCGCCAACCGGCGACAGUCCCUCUAAACUCAAAAGGUCCAUGAACGCCCACGAGUCCCCACGACAACUUUGCCAUCGGAUUGCUCAAUUUUGCCUCACAAAUUUGUGAAGCAAAAUUACAUAACAGAAAAUACUUUGUAAAAUAAACCCAGUUAAUAGGAAGAAUGAACACAAAGAACGUGUAGAUUCAUUCACAGAACUGUCUCAAAGGUGUGAUCUUCCACAAAACAAAUUCCAGCUGAUAUAAAACCAUUCAGAUUCCUCUGACAGACAAACAAAUGUUCAGUGAGCCAGCUGUUAUGAGUUCAGCGGAUGACGUAAUCAUUCCAAUGUCCCGUAAAAAAAACUAAAAGCAAACUACAGCCAGCAGGAGGAAUAAGCACGAAGAACGAACAGAUUAAUUCACAGCUGUUACAAAGGACUGUUAUUCAAUAGAACAAGCUCCAGCCGCUAGGCGGAACCAACACAAAAAGAAACAAAACCCCGGAUGGUCAGGUCAAUUCACUUGGAGGCCGUAUAAAAAUAUAUACUAUGACUUACACAAUCCGUCAGCUUUAUAAAAGACAUCCUUUGUGUGGAGCAUGUAGAUAUUUUGCGGUCAUCCGUAGUGUCCACUCUCAAACUGGCAGGGAACAUCAAUGCAAAAGUUUAUUUAAGGAAAAGUGUAAUUCACAAAACAAGCUCCGGCCACUCGGCAGAGCCAACGCAAAAAACCCAAAAUGUCGCCCAGCUUCCUCAAGAGUAAGUACAGCGAGUUGACCCACUCACAUGAGAAACAUCCAACGGUUUACUCAGUCAUUGAUUCUAUAAAAGACAUUGCCAGAUUUGGACAUGUAAAUACUUUGCCACCGACCUUCGUUUCUAUUCUCAGUUUGGCCGGAAACAUCAGAGCAAACGAGAUCUUUUUCUGAUGUAAGAGUUUCUUAUAUUCCUUGAACAGAUCGCGUUUCUCUCUUCGCAAAGUCCGGGAACAAGAAAAUAUUACGGUUCUUCCAAGAAAGCUUCCCUUUGCUCCUCGCCUGGCGCAACACAAGAUUUUUAUCGGAUGAUCUCAGAAAUCUGGCCAGAAUCGAUCGGGGCCUUUCUCCCUCAGCAGAUCUGUGAGCUAGGACUCUGUGAGCUCGCUCGAUUUCCAACUUGUGGCCUGUUAUGUCGAGCAGACUCGGGAAAAGCUCAUCUAGGAAUUUCACCAUAUCUCUGCCCUCCUCAUGCUCAGGAAUUCCAACAAUUCGAACGUUAUUCCUGCGGCUUCUAUUCUCAAGAUCUUCAAGAUUUUCAAGGAGAUGUUCCAAAUCAACUUUGGUCGCUGGCGGAUUAGCGGUUAAUUCCCUCUCUGAAGAUUCCAGAAAAUUGAUUAGUCUCUCAACAUCAGUCACUCUUGUAACUAGUUCAGAUAUUUUUAUUUCCAUCGCCGUAAUCGAUCGAUGUAUUACAGCGAGAUCCUCCAAGUCAGCAAGAACCUUCGUCAACAUCACCGACAUGUUGGACAACUGACGCUGGAUCUCCUCUCCCGCCGCGCCAUCCAAAUCGAGUCCCCGGUCUGUAGGCCUGUCGGGGCUUUCAUCCUGAACACAUGAAACCGUUCCAAAGACAUCAACACUGAACAGCCUGAAAGACUUUUCAAGAAACACCCAACAACUGCAAACUUUACCAGAUUCAAAAUUUGCCGGGCAAAGAAUCAGAGUUGGAGACAAUUAAUAUCAAGCCUAAUGUCUCAUACACCUAUGAAGAGGAUCUGGAUGAUGAUUUGCAAGAUGAAGGGUCUGGUCUUCGCUACCACACAGUGAUUAUGAAGCCAGUCCCAAAGCAAUUCACCAGUAAAUACUGUGAAUAUUCCUGUCAUCUUUGAAUUGAAGAAGCGUUUCCAGAAGUGCAGGACAAACUUCAAGUGUGUCAAUAAUUUCUGACAUACUAUUGUAAAGAUGGAUUUUAUUAAAGAGGAGAGAGAGGACAUGGGUUAUCCAGAACCAUACAGAGUGAAAAAUGAAGAUACUGAGGAACAAAUAGGCCUGAUGGAAGCGAAAGUGGAAAGUCAAGAACUGAAUGAAGUGGAAGAGAAACAUUGGUAUCAGGAUCCUCAUUCAUUCACAAAAAUGAAAAAAUCAUUUAGUUGUUCACAGACUGAAAAUAAUUCCUCACAACAAACAACUCAACGGACAGAAGCCACACAUUCUUUCACCUGCCCUCAGUGUGGAAAACGUUUCACACGUAGAACAACUCUGAAGGAACACAUAAGAAUACACAUUGGAGAGAAUCCUAUCAUAUGCCUUCAGUGUGGAAAGAGUUUCUCACGGAAAGAAAACCUUAAUAGGCACAUGAGAAUUCACUCUGGAGAGAAGCCUUACACAUGUCCUCAGUGUGGAAAGAGUUUCUUACGGAAAGAGAACCUUAAUAGUCACAUGAGAGUUCACACUGGAGAGAGACCUUUCACUUGCAAUCUGUGUGAACAGAGAUUCAAAUAUGUAAAUAAUCAUGAAUGUCAUCUUCACUUUCAGCACACUGGAGGAGCAAAGUCGUUAAACUGUGAUCAGUGUGAUAAAAGUUUCAUCUUUGAAUCAGACCUGAAAAUUCACAAGAACCCCCAUUUGUGUUCUUUUUGUGGAGAGAGUUUUUCAUGCCCGCACCAUUUCAAAGAGCACCAGAAAAUUCAUAGUAUGAAAGCUCAUGUGUGCCUUGAGUGUGGCGAUGCCUUUGCCGGAGCCGGUAACUUGAAGAUGCACCAAAGAGUCCAUAUUAAAGAAAAACCUAACAACUGUUCAUAAUGUGUAUAGAGUUCACUCAUUUAGAAGCCUUGAAAACAAAUGGAGAGAAUUCAUACCACCAGCCUUCAUGUGGGAAGAGUUUCACCACAUCAAGUACCCAACUGACUCAUUUAAAAAAAAGUGUUGUUGAAAAAUAUCACAGUGAACUCUUCUUCAGGUUCAUCUUUAGGUCCAAUGCUUUAAGCAGUGUCAAUUUCAGGUAAACCUAAAGAGGAAUGAAAUUGCUCCUUUGGUAGAAAUUCUAAGUUUAUAGUAAUGCAUUUCUUCUAUAGUGAAUGUAAUUUGUUGUGCAUGGAAAAACCAUCCAUUUUUUUAAUCUUUUGGGAGGCACCAAUAAGUGUAACUGUAUUAUCAAAUAAGUAAACUGCACUUAAAAGUCAUUACCCCUUCUUAAUUGAAUUUAAGUUUUUACGCGAAAUUGAAUGUCUUUCUAUUAGAUUGUCAUUUAGUUGGAUUAGGACAAAUUAAUGCACUAGCAGUUUUAACACAACUUCAUUAGGUUCAUCAGACUUUUAUCCAAAAUAUACACUGAGCCAAAACAUUAUGACCACCUGCCUAACAUGCUGUUGGUCCUCUGCGUGCCGCCAAAACAUCACUGACCCGCCGAGGCAUGAACUCUACUAGACCCCUGAAGGUGUCCUUGAGGUAUAUGGCACCAAGACAUUAACAGCAGAUCCUUCAAGUCCUGUAAGUUGCAAGGUGGAGCCACCGUGGAUCGGAUUUGUUGGUCCAGCACAUCCCACAGAUGCUUAAUCGGAUUGAGAUCUGGGGAAUUUGUAAGCCAGGGCAACACCUUAAACUCUUCAUCAUGUUCCUCAAACAAUUCCCGAACAAUGUGUGCAGUGUGACAGGGCGCAUUAUCCUGCUGAAAGAGGCCACUGCCAUCAGGGAAUACAAUUGCCAUAAAGGGGCUGCAAUGAUGUUUAGGUAGGUGGCACGUGUCAAAAUGGUGCCCAUGCGAAUGUCCGGACCCAGGGUUUCCCAGCAAAACAUUGCCCAGACCAUCACAUUCCCUCAACUGGCUUGACAUCUUCCCACAGUGAAUCCUGGUUCCAUCACUUCCCCAGGUAAACGUCGCACAUGUUUUUGUUGUGCCCUGUUGCACUAGUGUUAAACAAAAUAAUAAUAAUGUUUCCAUUCCUGUCCAAAAAACUGCAGUUUUCAGAGGAAUUAAAAACUCAAAACAUAUUGGGAAAUUUAAAAAGUCUUUUGUGCCUAUAAAGUGCAUUAUCCGUUAUCUGUUUUGAAUAAGUGCCUUGUUGCAGUAGUGUUACAUAUGAAAAGCAAAAGUGUUUAAGUGUGUAGUUUCAUUUAUAAUCUGAGGCUGUUUAUUCAUUUUAGUAUCGAUACUGUGGUGCCAGGCCUGGUAUUGUACUGAAGCCAAAAAAAAAAGUAUCAAACCAACACUAACUGGGGGCAUACUAGUGAAAGCUAUAUUUUUAUAAUCCGCUCAGAAUUGCCUAAUGAAACAGAGACAUAUUGAUAAAGUUGGUCAUUUAUAAUAAACAAAAUACUAUUUCUCAAAAUCUAAGUGUUAUGAAAUAUUAGUCAUCUAAAUAUUUUGUAAUAAUUAAUAAAUAGUCAAGAUACUAUAUUAGGCUACAUUUAAUAAAUUUUCUCUCCCAAAUCCCACUCUUAAUAUUUUGUGUACAUUGUUUUUUUGUAGUUGUUUUUUUUCACUAUGCAUUGUGUGAUUUAUGAAAUAGGUAGUGUAAAAGGACUUUUAUUCUGAUUCUCUGAACAGCUUUUUUGUUGUGGCAUCAUAUGGCUGCGCUGCAACUGAGUGAUUCAAAGCAACGAGGAGCACUCGUAAAAGAUUAUUUUAAAUUGUCUGUUUUGACGAACAGUCUGUUUUGAUGAUCAAUUAAAGAUCUAAAAUAAAUAUUCCACAUAAUAAAUUUGAUAACUUUAGCUCUAUGUCUGCUACUUUGGUUCAUGAGAUAACAUAUUCGCCCCUUGUAUAAAAAGUUCCGGGUUCUAAUCUGCUUGAAUGGAUCUUUAUAUUUUAAUAAAUAAAGAUUGCAUCCAUACCUCAGUGAAGUGUAUCUUAAGUGGGGACACAUUUGUUUGCUUUAUUUAUUUAUUUAUUUAUUUUUCAACUGCAGCUAGUUUGUUUUUAAACACAAUUUAGUUAAUAAAUUACUAAUAAUAUCAAAUAAUUAAGUCACAAUAACAAUCUUAGAUUUAAAGUAAUGUGUGCCUUGUUAACAUGAACUUCUGUCAAAAUAUUACUUUAUCCAAGAAACAUAGCAAUAUCCAUCCUUCCACAUACUUGACUGUUUGUCUUGUUAUCGGACAGACUUCUGAACGCAAUGUCAGGGUAAAAGGUGUCUGGCCUCCCGAAAAUUGUUAUUCCAGGACCUAACAGUAGCAAGGGAGUGGCUACAGUCUCUGCUACUGCUAGCACUGAACAUGAAUAUGCUAUGGAUACUGACCAUACUGAUAUAAGAAUAGGGUCUUCAUCUGCACAAACAACGCCAACCAAGAUUCCACCUAAGAAAAUGAUAGGUGAUAUAUGCUCCGAGAUUUCCAACACAACUCUCCUGGAAGCUAUAAAUUCCCUAGCUGCCAGAUUUGACACACAUGAUUGAAAACUGGCUAGCAUUGAAAGUAAGAUCAGUGAGAACAGUCUCUUGAUAGUGAAUGUGUCAAAGGCGGUAGAAUUCAACACAGAAGAGAUGAAGGAUUGUCUAGUCAUAAGUAAAACUAAUCGACA
This is an RNA transcript of Myxocyprinus asiaticus (Chinese sucker), 6445 nucleotides long. It is a transcript of the gene named gastrula zinc finger protein XlCGF7.1-like, with no coding region annotated. The transcript is spliced from 4 exons. Lineage: Eukaryota; Metazoa; Chordata; Actinopteri; Cypriniformes; Catostomidae. The record is from RefSeq and is a predicted model, not a curated record.